CGGCGGACGGGUGAGUAACACGUGGGUAACCUACCUAUAAGACUGGGACAACUUCGGGAAACCGGAGCUAAUACCGGAUAAGAUAUCGAACCGCGUGGUUCGAUAGUGAAAGAUGGUUUUGCUAUCACUUAUAGAUGGACCCGCGCCGUAUUAGCUAGUUGGUGAGGUAACGGCUCACCAAGGCAACGAUACGUAGCCGACCUGAGAGGGUGAUCGGCCACACUGGAACUGAGACACGGUCCAGACUCCUACGGGAGGCAGCAGUG
Molecule: ribosomal RNA, 266 nt
Filed under: uncultured Staphylococcus sp.
Lineage: Bacteria; Bacillati; Bacillota; Bacilli; Caryophanales; Staphylococcaceae
Description: partial 16S ribosomal RNA
Rfam family: Bacterial small subunit ribosomal RNA
Source: RNAcentral